RNAcentral lists this long non-coding RNA (1529 nucleotides) under Malus domestica (apple). Its description in RNAcentral is "long non-coding RNA (MDOM_LNC018440)". The record is from RNAcentral. Lineage: Eukaryota; Viridiplantae; Streptophyta; Magnoliopsida; Rosales; Rosaceae.
CACCAUUCUAUUUCAUCAAUUUCGUGAGUCUUUAAGUUUGUUUACAAAGUUUAUGUUUUAAAAGUUCAAUUUCGUCAAAACCAAACCCCUUGCUUUUAAGUCUUGUUUUUAGAGUCAAAACCUGUUUUCUUUUGGUCUUUUGAGUCUUUUAAGUUCUAUUUUCGUCCAAAUCACUUAUUAGGUCUAGAAUUGAGUCUUUUUUAUUGUUUCUUGCUGUUUUGAGUGUUUUGAGUUAGUUUUGAGUCUAUAGAGUCUACUUUAGUGUUUUUGAGUCUUAUUUGUGUUGAUUAGCAUCCCUAGUUAAUCCCCGGUCUAGAACGAUCCCUACUUGCUUAAAUACUACAAUUGUCAUCAAUAGGGUUUAAUUUGUGUGUCAACUUAAUUUUCACAUCAGUUUUGAAUACACCCUUAGCCAAAACAAAUUUAGCCAAUCAUACUUAAAGCAAAACAAAGAUUACAUGAAUUAGACAUUGAAAUAUAAGAUAGAAUACACCUAAAAUUGUUCAACAACUCAGAAUGAAGAGCCAAACAAUUGAGUGAAUCUGUCCCUUUUCCUUGCUUGCGGCAGAUUGGGGUUUGGUGGUUUCUGGGCUGUUUCGAUGAUGAAGAAUGGAUUUGGGGGGGGGGUGUAGAAGCACGGCAAGGGGUGUAGGGUGAGUGUGGAAGAGUGUUUGAUGGUUGGAGGGUGGUGGAGAACUCGGCAAAGAGGGUGGAAGAAGGUGGAGCGGCUGUUGUAUUUUCUGGGUGCUAGAAUGGUGUUUUUAGGGUGUUUUGCUGUCUAGGUUGUGUAUGGACGAAUUUCUGUGAUGGAUCAUGAAUGGCUGCCUAGGUUAUGUGUCUAUUUAAAAGGGAAUUCAGGAAUUAAAACCCUAGGUUAAUUAGGUAAACAAAAUUUAAGUCAAAAGCUUCUAGAAAUAAGGAAACAAAUCAGAAAACUAAGGGAGAAUAGGCUAGAGGAUUUGGCAUUAACUUAAAAUAGAUUAGGCAAGUGUUUCAAUGCAAUGAAUCAGGAUGUAACUCUCUUCCUUGCACGGCAAGGUAGAGGAAUGGGCAAGGUGAUAUGCGGCUGUGAUGUAGGAAAGGUUUAGUGUCCUAAAAAGAAAGGGAAAGGGAACUUACGGCAAGGAAAGGGAAGGAAAGGGUAUGUGAGGUGCGGCACUACCUUGAAUGGUGCAAGGAAUCUUUGUUUUAUGUCCUAAAGUGCAUAUGAGGUUCUCAAAGUGGCUGGAACAUAAGUGCUUUUAGGAUUAGGAAAGGUUAAACCAAAAUAGGAAACCUUGGCUUAACUUUCCUACUUCAAUUAGGAAUCCUUAUUGGAUUAGGAAUCUUCAUUCUUCUAGGAAUCCUCAUGUGAUUAGGACUCCAUCUUCAAUUAGGAAUCCUUAUUUCUUCAAGUCUUCAAUUCACCCAUUCCUUUUGCUCCAAAAGCUCCAAAUUACUUCAUUUUGCACACUUUGGCCUAAGAAUCUGAAAACACACAAAAGUGACUUUAAACACUAAAAUAACUAAAGAAACACAACGUAAAAGCA